This 279-nucleotide ribosomal RNA is filed under the name uncultured bacterium. Its description in RNAcentral is "partial 16S ribosomal RNA". It matches the Rfam family "Bacterial small subunit ribosomal RNA", at positions 506 to 784 of the family's 1533-position model. The record is from RNAcentral.
UGCCAGCAGCCGCGGUAAUACGGGGGGAGCAAGCGUUGUCCGGAUUCAUUGGGCGUAAAGGGUGCGUAGGCGGUUUAUCAAGUCAGAUGUGAAAUUCCCAGGCUUAACUUGGGGCGUGCAUUUGAAACUGGUGAACUUGAGUACAGGAGAGGUAAGUGGAAUUCCUAGUGUAGCGGUGAAAUGCGUAGAUAUUAGGAGGAACACCAGUGGCGAAGGCGACUUACUGGACUGUCACUGACGCUGAGGCACGAAAGCGUGGGGAGCAAACAGGAUUAGAUA